Molecule: ribosomal RNA, 253 nt
Filed under: uncultured bacterium
Lineage: Bacteria
Description: partial 16S ribosomal RNA
Rfam family: Bacterial small subunit ribosomal RNA
Source: RNAcentral
UACGGAGGGGGCGAGCGUUAUUCGGAAUUAUUGGGCGUAAAGGGCGCGUAGGCGGCUUGAUGUGUCAAAGGUGAAAUCCCUCGGCUCAACUGAGGAACUGCCUUUGAAACUGUCUGGCUUGAGGCCGGGAGAGGGGAGCGGAAUUCCCAGUGUAGCGGUGAAAUGCGUAGAUACUGGGAGGAACACCGGUGGCGAAGGCGGGACUCUGGGCCGAUACUGACGCUGAGGAGCGAAAGCGUGGGGAGCGAACAGG